UGAGUUUGAUCCUGGCUCAGGAUGAACGCUAGUGGUAUGCUUUGACACAUGCAAGUUGACAAGUUAAAUUUAUAUUAAGAUUAUUUUAAUCUUAGAUAUAAAUACUAGUGGCGAACGGGUGAGUAACACGUGAGAACCUACAUUUUGGAUUGGAAUAGGCUCAAGAAAUUUAGAAUAAUACCAAAUACGACAUUUAUUCUUUGUGAUUUUAAAUCAUAAGUAUAGAAUAAAAGUAAAACCAAAAAAUGGGCUUGCGGCUAAUUAGCUAGUUGGUGAGGUAAAAGCUUACCAAGGCGAUAAUUGGUAGCUGUUCUGAGAAGAAAAUCAGCCACAUUGGGACUGAGAGACGGCCCGAACUCCUACGGGGGGCUGCAGUGGGGAAUAUUCCGCAAUGGGCGAAAGCUUGACGGAGCAAUACCAUGUGACUGAAGAAGGGUAGAUCGUAAAAGUCUUUUUUUAGAAAGGAAAAACAUGACGUUAUCUAAAGAAUAAGUAUCGGCUAAUUCUGUGCCAGCAGCCGCGGUAAGACAGAGGAUGCAAGCGUUAUCCGGAUUUAUUGGGCGUAAAGAGUCUGUAGGUGGUUUUAAAAGUCUUUUGUUAAAAACCAGGGCUCAACCGUGGGAAUGCAUUAGAUACUUUAAAACUAGAGGGCGAUAGAGGCAGAGGGAAUUCUCGGUGUAGUGGUGGAAUGCGUAGAUAUCGAGAGGACCGCCAAAAGCGAAAGCACUCUGCUGGGUCGAUAAAGAAAUUUCAAUGAAAAAAGGUAUACCCUGACACUGAGAGACGAAAGCGAGGGGAGCAAAUAGGAUUAGAGACCCUAGUAGUCCUCGCUGUAAACGAUGAGGACUGGAUAUUGGAGGAAGGUUACCUUUAAAACCCAUUCAGUAUUUAAGCUAACGCGUUAAGUCCUCCGCCUGGGGAGUACGGUCGCAAGAUUGGAACUUAAAGGAAUUGACGGGAGCUUACACAAUUGGUGGAGCAUGUGGUUUAAUUCGAUGUUACACGUAAAACCUUACCGGAGCUUGAAUGGUUUAUCUAUCUAUUUUUUAAUCGAAAUAGUUUAAUUGCGAUAACUGCAGGUGGUGCAUGGUUGUCAAGUUCGUGUCGUGAGAUAUUGGGUUGAGUCCCGCAACGAACGGAACCCUAGUCCUUUUUUUGUUUUGUAAGUAAAUAUUAAAAAAUAAGGAGAGAGCCUGUAAUAAGGAGGAAGUCUAGGAUUUCGACAAAUCAUUAUGCUUCUUACGCUCCGGGCUACACAUGUGCUACAAUGGUUGAUAUAAUGAAUUUUAUUUAUAAAAUCAAUCAUAGUUCGGAUUAUAAAAUGAAACUCUUUUAUAUGAAGUAGGAAUCAAUAGUAAUCGCAGGUCAGCUAUACUGCGGUGAACCGUAACUUAGCUUUGUACAUACCGCCCGUCACACCCUGGAAAUCGGUUUUAUUUUAAGGUAUUCUUUCAACAUUUGAAAAAAUGAGAAAAAUAUUUAUAGUAAGAUUGAUAACUAAGGUGAAGUCGUAACAAGGUAGCCGUACUGGAAGGUGUGGCUGAAUGUAAA
This 1551-nucleotide ribosomal RNA is filed under the name Prototheca stagnorum. RNAcentral's name for it is "bacterial SSU rRNA". It matches the Rfam family "Bacterial small subunit ribosomal RNA". Lineage: Eukaryota; Viridiplantae; Chlorophyta; Trebouxiophyceae; Chlorellales; Chlorellaceae. The record is from RNAcentral.